RNAcentral lists this ribosomal RNA (473 nucleotides) under uncultured bacterium. Its description in RNAcentral is "bacterial SSU rRNA". It matches the Rfam family "Bacterial small subunit ribosomal RNA", at positions 28 to 498 of the family's 1533-position model. The record is from RNAcentral.
GAUGAACGCUGGCGGCGUGCCUAAUACAUGCAAGUCGAACGCUUCACUUCGGUGAAGAGUGGCGAACGGGUGAGUAAUACAUAAGUAACCUGGCAUCUACAGGGGGAUAACUGAUGGAAACGUCAGCUAAGACCGCAUAGGUGUAGAGAUCGCAUGAACUCUAUAUGAAAAGUGCUACGGGACUGGUAGAUGGUGGACUUAUGGCGCAUUAGCUUGUUGGUAGGGUAACGGCCUACCAAGGCGACGAUGCGUAGCCGACCUGAGAGGGUGACCGGCCACACUGGGACUGAGACACGGCCCAGACUCCUACGGGAGGCAGCAGUAGGGAAUUUUCGGCAAUGGGGGAAACCCUGACCGAGCAACGCCGCGUGAAGGAAGAAGUAAUUCGUUAUGUAAACUUCUGUCAUAGAGGAAGAACGGUGGAUAUAGGGAAUGAUAUCCAAGUGACGGUACUCUAUAAGAAAGCCACGGCU